This 590-nucleotide ribosomal RNA is filed under the name uncultured Actinomycetes bacterium. RNAcentral describes it as "bacterial SSU rRNA". It matches the Rfam family "Bacterial small subunit ribosomal RNA", at positions 57 to 663 of the family's 1533-position model. The record is from RNAcentral. Lineage: Bacteria; Bacillati; Actinomycetota; Actinomycetes.
GCAGUCGAGCGAGAGCUCUUCUCCCGCAAGGGAGGGGAGUUUCUAGCGGCACGGGUGAGUAACACGUGGCAACCUACCCUGUCGUGGGGAAUAAGCCCGGGAAACUGGGUCUAAUGCCGCAUGAGGUCACCGAAGGCAUCUUUGGUGAAGAAAGCAGCAAUGCGCGACGGGACGGGCCCGCGGCCUAUCAGCUUGUUGGUGGGGUAACGGCCUACCAAGGCUAUGACGGGUAGCUGGUCUGAGAGGAUGAUCAGCCACACGGGGACUGAGACACGGCCCCGACUCCUACGGGAGGCAGCAGUAAGGAAUCUUCCGCAAUGGGCGAAAGCCUGACGGAGCGACGCCGCGUGUGGGACGAAGUCCCUUGGGAUGUAAACCACUGUCGGAGGGGAAGAGAACGGACGGUACCCUCCAAGAAAGCCCCGGCUAACUACGUGCCAGCAGCCGCGGUAACACGUAGGGGGCAAGCGUUACCCGGAUUUACUGGGCGUAAAGCGCACGUAGGCGGCUGGUCAAGCGUGAUGUGAAAUCCCUCGGCUCACCGAGGAAUGCGUCGCGAACUGGCCUGCUAGAGUGCAGAGAGGGUGGUG